This 465-nucleotide ribosomal RNA is filed under the name uncultured bacterium. RNAcentral describes it as "SSU rRNA". It matches the Rfam family "Bacterial small subunit ribosomal RNA", at positions 26 to 518 of the family's 1533-position model. The record is from RNAcentral.
AGAAUCAACGCUGGCGGCGUGCCUAACACAUGCAAGUCGCACGAGAAAGGGUAGCAAUACCUGAGUACAGUGGCGCACGGGUGAGUAACACGUGAAUAAUCUACCUCCGAGUGGGGAAUAACUGAGAGAAAUCUUAGCUAAUACCGCAUAAUACCCACGGGUCAAAGCAGCAAUGCGCUUGGAGAGGAGUUCGCGGCAGAUUAGUUAGUUGGCGGGGUAAUGGCCCACCAAGACGAUGAUCUGUAUCCGGCCUGAGAGGGCGCGACGGAACGACGACCUGGAACGUGAACACGGUCCAGACUCCUACGGGAGGCAGCAGUGGGGAAUUUUGCGCAAUGGGGGAAACCCUGACGCAGCAACGCCGCGUGGAGGAUGAAGCCCCUUGGGGUGUAAACUCCUUUCGAUCGGGAAGAUAAUGACGGUACCGAUAUAAGAAGCCCCGGCUAACUUCGUGCCAGCAGCCGC